AAACACUUUCAUGGUUACAAUAAUAUUGAAGUCUUAAGUGAAGUGUGUAAAUAGCUUCCUGCUUAAAAUGAAACUGGUGGGCACUGUGACUGGGCAGAGCAGCAGGACUAGAUGUGGGGACAGCAGCCUUUGUGAACCUUGAUAGAAACAGUUUUAAUCUAGGGGGAGUUCUCUGUCCCACUCUGAAGAUACUCUGUUAGCCUGCAGCAUGGGAUGAACUUAGCCUGAUUUUUCUUCACGGUUUGAUUUCAUGAUGUCAUCGUGGAAAUCUUCUUGCCACCUGUUUUUGGUAGGGGUGGCUGCCUUGCACCCUCAGCCAGGGGCAUUCCAAAUGCCUGUUUCAGCCCUAAAAUGUAAGUAAAACCACGUAACUGCUUCACAGCAGCCAGUACCCCAUCCCUCCAGUCUUACUAGCUGUAAGCCUGGCAUAAGCACACAUGUACAUAUAUAUACAUGUAUGUAUAGUGAUACAUAUAUCCUCCGUUUCAUAGCUGACAUCAAGGAACCCCACCUCAGCAUAUCCUGGAAGCUUGAUACUUGGGCAUUUGUGCUCAAUAAUGAAUUGCUCUCUCAAAAUAGUCCACAAGUGACAGAACAAAC
Lepidothrix coronata (blue-crowned manakin) is the source of this 600-nucleotide long non-coding RNA. RefSeq lists it as uncharacterized. NCBI's taxonomy places the organism in Eukaryota, Metazoa, Chordata, Aves, Passeriformes, Pipridae. The record is from RefSeq and is a predicted model, not a curated record. The transcript is spliced from 3 exons.